GCUCCACAGCAUGUGGGUGAAUUUACUCGAGGUAGCGUAUGCAGGGGUUUCAAUCUCCCCUGCAAACCAUUUGAAUAUAGGCCGCUGAUUUAUUACCUUAUUUGGUCUGUCUUCUGUAUGCAAAUGCAUUAGUGGGGGGUGGCGGGCAGUAGGGUUGAGGGUGGCGGCGGCAGUGGUUCUGUCGUUGGUGGUGAGGGGGGGGCACACUUUGGUUGUAUGCAUAAUGAGAUUCCCAGGGUCAUCCCUCUGGUGUGUCAGGGACCCGUUCUGAAGCAAGCCUCCAGGGGAUGUAGAAGAAGAUGGGUGGGGGUGGAGGGCGUCGGGGCGGGGUAGGAGAGCUAAGGGGAAGGUUGCAGGGGAAUGGGCUGCACUAGGCAUAGUCCUCAGGUGCCCCCCGCACCGCCACCUCCACCAACUCCAACCUUCGCGGCCCCUCCUAAACUCCUGGCAGUUCAUCAGCCUAUCUGCUGCCAGCUCCAGCUACCCCUGCCACCCAGCCUAGCUUGCACUAAGUGUCUUCUGUGACUCUUGGCUCAGUGGAAGUGCAUUAGCCCCCAUGACAAUAUAUCCCCCUCCCCCGCCAAUUAUGGAUCUGAUCUGUGUGUUUAAUAAUUGCCCUCUUCAGACGCAUUCAAUUGUGUCCAAAUGGGAGUGGAAUUGAUUUUUUUUUUUUUUUUGGUAGGAUAUUAGCCGAUUACUUUGAGUGCUCCCCUAAUUUGAAUCGAUUUGAAUAAUGGUUAUUCAUGUGAUCUUUGCCUUUGCUACUGUGCCACGCAACGACACGCCCUCAAGGUGCAGCGCUGCCACUGUGAUAAGUGCACUGUACGCCCAAGUGCUGGCAUGCGCACACACAGUUUGAUAUUACACGUUGUUUCAUAACUCGAGAAAUGUAAAACGAUUAAUACGUUACAAGUUAGGGGAUACGAGGGAAAUUGCGGGGCGCGGAUUAAUGCGUAAUCUGAAGAGUCAUCUCCUCAGCCGAUCACAAUCGGGCUUAAAUUGAAUCAGAAUCAGAGCGGCGCCUUUGAGUGUGGCAGUUUAAACUCUAAAUAAAUAUAUGGUUUUCAUUUGCCUGCUUGCAC
Astatotilapia calliptera (eastern happy) is the source of this 1082-nucleotide long non-coding RNA. The record is from Ensembl. NCBI's taxonomy places the organism in Eukaryota, Metazoa, Chordata, Actinopteri, Cichliformes, Cichlidae.